This 3091-nucleotide long non-coding RNA is filed under the name Sus scrofa (pig). Its description in RNAcentral is "lncRNA (ENSSSCG00015057341.1)". The record is from RNAcentral. Lineage: Eukaryota; Metazoa; Chordata; Mammalia; Artiodactyla; Suidae.
UUUUUUUUUUCUUUUUUUUUUUUUUCGAUUGGUGGGGGUAAAGCUUUUUCUUUUUUGGGGGGGGUGGUAAAGCUUUAAGAAUGUCUUACCCCUGUGGUUCUAACAUCAAUAGCCACCAAGAAUUCACAAAAAUAGAGAGCAGACCUACCACUACUGGCAAACCAAUCCUAGAUCUAGGUGUACAAUUUCUAUAAACCAAGCAGAGAAAGAAACCAAGACCAAGUUUGCCACAAAGCUCUCCUAGAUUCACAAAUCCUACUCUUUACGGCAACGUCUACAAAGAAGAGGAAGUACAAUCACAUGGGCACCAAAAUUAUUUUCCUAGAGAAAUACUUAAAACACCACCUUUCCCAAUGGUGGCUCCCAGUUCCCGAAGACAUCCAAAGUUCUCACAGUGGAUUUCAAAGACAUUCAGGAGCUGAACUCAUGAUCCCUGACCCUUCUCACAGCAGAAUGCUCGUCUAGUUUCUGUGCCCACACAAGUCUCUACUUUUUUAUCUCCCACAUCCAGACUUUUGUUUCCCAGUUUUUUAAUCACUCUUUAAAUUUCACCUGCUUCUCUAAGUCCUCUAAUUAAGCAGAGGCUGAUCUAGAUGUAUCACUCACCCCCACAGAGCCUGCAAGAUUUCCGACACUGCUACCAGAUGUGUCUGCGUACACUUGUACAGGCGUGUAGAUACAGGAAUAGACACAGAGCUGGCCAAUGUUUAUAGUGCUUUCCUUUAAAUUAUAAAAUCGUCAAGGGCAGAUACCAAAUCAUUACUUUACAAAACGUGUCUCUGAAGCACAAUAUGCUAACUCGUGUACACAGUAUAUAUUCCAAGGUGUUAUGGAGGUGUUCUCCAGAUACCUCAUGUGCACCCCAGAGGUCAAGUCACCUGCCUAGAAGGAAAGGGAACAUACAUACUCUGGGUACCUUUUCAGCUCUAGUCAUCAUUUAUUUAAUUUACACUUGCCACUCCAAAGAGUGGAAAUGGCCAGUGAGUUAAGUGGCUACUCAUGGAAGUGGGCAGAAAGAUGUGAUUAAAGGGAAAGAAAAAUUUCUGCAGGGGCCCCCUUCUCCUAGGAACACAGAAACCAGAAUAACUAGAUUUCAAGUUAUACAGCCUACCAGAUAGGAUGCUAAGCAGAUCCUAACACAUCUUGAAAACAGAAGUGAACAAAACAAAACUUGCCUUGAAACUACCAGACAUAUUCUGAGACCAUAGUUAAAUUUGAAAAGUGUAAGACUGUUCGCAGGACUCAGCUGCUAUGCUCAGAGAAAGGUGGAAAGGUGACACUAAUUUUUCUUUUUUUAUUAUUACUUCCAGUAAUAACAAAACAACAUACACGAAAACCAAAAAGAAAAAUCCAGUUAAAAUCUCAUAACAGAUAAAGCCAUUUCCAAAUUUCCAGAGAAUACCAGUCUAUAAAUUAUACAUAUAAUUUACAAAGACUAUUGUACCAAAGAGUUCAAGAACAAACUCUGUUUACAAAAUGCACUUCUGGCUUCCCAAAGUGAAUUACAGUAAUAGUAUUAUUGCACACACAAAACUACUAAAUUCUUUCUUCUAAAAUAUUGUCAUAGCCAAGUUAGGAAUACUGUAAAAGCAAGAAGAAAAGUCACUGAAACCAUCUCUCUACCAGAAAGGAGCUAAAAAUCUCCACGUCUAGCUACACAAAACAAACAAACAAAUCAAAACUGCACAGCCCAGAACUAGUUGAUUAUUUAUGAAAAACCAAGUAACUCUGUAAUUCCCCCAUCUUUUCAAAAUUGUGGAACAAUAAAAGCUGUCAGAAGAUGAGACUGAAAAACCAGCUGGUCCUAACAACAACCUAGAUUUUAAUCAUUCCUCAAAAAGAAUUUUAUAUCGUAACCUUUGAACUAGUAAACAUACUUCUCAGAUUCAGACUGCUGGGUAAUGGCAAUGAACUAAAUAACCCAGCCCUAAGAAUUUCAAUUACCUUUAUUUGAUUAACUGUGGCAGUAGAAAAACAAGGUAUAAAAAGACAUGGAAAGGCUUUGUAGGGUCAUUCAUCAUCUUCUACGGUGGGGAAAGCUCCUAUCUCUGUGCAGCCUUCUUCAUCCAAUCCUCCCAAAUAAUCUUUUCUCCAAAAUAUUCAGACUAGUAGAGCUUUCAUCCCUCAGGCUACUUGUAAGAGUUCCUUUUAUAAGACCUUCCCUUACAAAACUAAAUCUCCAAUGUCUUUGACUUUAUUAGCAUACUGGCAAACCCAUAAGAUAUAAAACACCCAAAAUGUCUGAAGAAACAAAACUAUUUUGGCUUCUUCUUUUUCUUUUUUUAUGGCCUCACCUGCACCGUAAGGAAGUUUCUGGCGAGGGGUCGAAUUGGAGCUGCAGCUGGGGCCUAAGCCACAGCCACGGCAAUGCCGGAUCCUUAACCCACUGAGCAAGGCCAGGAAUGGUACCCGCAUCCUCACAGAGAUAAUGCCGGGUCCUUAACAAUGGGAACUCCUAUUUGGCUUCUUUGUGGUUAAUAUGAAGCAUGAAAAAGAGAAAGAAGGAACACGACCCUCUGGAAGUAAAGAGAACAGGGAAGACUGAUAAACCAGAGCAAUAAAGGCAGCUGUAUCCUAAAGUGUACUCAAGUCAGCCAUGAAACUCACCCAAAUGUGCAGCUCACUGCCUAAACCAAAAUAUACAUCUGGUAAUAAUAAACACUGAUAAGUCAUAAACAAAAAGGGCUUUCUUAAUUCAAAGACCCUACCAACUACUGGUAAUAAUAAAAUUUACAUACAACAACAAUCAAUAUGUACAAAAUCGAUUAUUUAAGACAGUAUCUCAACUUAAGUUCCUAAGAAAUUAAAAAUGAUUUGGUAUUAUUUUACUGCCUAGUCUUCAAAACACUAAGACCCCAAUAUCUUUGAUUUGACCAAGUUACAAAUCUGUUUUCAGAAUCGAGAGAAAACAUACUGCCUCUGUUUAACACAAAGGACAAAAAAGAUCAUCACUGCAAAUCAUAAUGUUUGGGUUCAUGAUGAAAACAGGAAACAGACAGGCUGCCCAGGUAUAAUUAUGGUUAUAGCCUAAUGUGCCUUCAGGUUCAGCCAAGAAUUAAAACCCAGGGAAGAGGGUAAGCAGAAUUGACUU